RNAcentral lists this ribosomal RNA (462 nucleotides) under uncultured bacterium. RNAcentral describes it as "partial 16S ribosomal RNA". It matches the Rfam family "Bacterial small subunit ribosomal RNA", at positions 28 to 507 of the family's 1533-position model. The record is from RNAcentral.
GAUAAACGCUGGCGGCGUGCUUAACACAUGCAAGUCGAACGAAGUUUUUCCUUCGGGAGCAACUUAGUGGCGGACGGGUGAGUAACGCGUGGGUAACCUGCCCUGUACAGGGGGACAACAGCUGGAAACGGCUGCUAAUACCGCAUAAGCACUUAGCACUGCAUGGUGCAUAGGGAAAAGGAGCAAUCCGGUACAGGAUGGACCCGCGUCUGAUUAGCCAGUUGGCAGGGUAACGGCCUACCAAAGCGACGAUCAGUAGCCGAUCUGAGAGGAUGUACGGCCACAUUGGGACUGAGACACGGCCCAGACUCCUACGGGAGGCAGCAGUGGGGAAUAUUGCACAAUGGAGGAAACUCUGAUGCAGCGACGCCGCGUGAGUGAAGAAGUAUUUCGGUAUGUAAAGCUCUAUCAGCAGGGAAGAAAAUGACGGUACCUGACGAAGAAGCACCGGCUAAAUACGUG